GUCAAAUCUCUUUCUUUUAUUUCCAUGAGGUUUCAGCAAUAUCCAAUUGGUGCAUUUGGGGGAGCUAUAGGACAGAUGCAAUCAGGUUUCUUCCUGGAAUGAUGGAAAUUUGUAUCUCUGAAUGCCAAACUGAUCAUGCACAGGGAGAGGAAAUGGCCUGAUCUACUGUGUUUCUACCAAGGGACUAAGAUAUUUUGUCAUGAAAACUCCAAGACUUCAACAGUUUACAUUUAAAGUAAGUAUUUUUUUCCUUUUAAGCUCUCAGCAUAUUAAACAGCCACCAAAA
This 286-nucleotide long non-coding RNA is filed under the name Anas platyrhynchos platyrhynchos (common mallard). Its description in RNAcentral is "lncRNA (ENSAPLG00000016958.1)". The record is from RNAcentral. Lineage: Eukaryota; Metazoa; Chordata; Aves; Anseriformes; Anatidae.